This 3414-nucleotide long non-coding RNA is filed under the name Homo sapiens (human). RNAcentral describes it as "HSALNT0310029". The record is from RNAcentral. Lineage: Eukaryota; Metazoa; Chordata; Mammalia; Primates; Hominidae.
CAGAGGUUAAAUCACUACAUCAACAGAGAGUGGUGUAGUAAAGGGAGGAAGGGCUGGGAAAACUGCAUGAGGGUGGAUUACAGAGAGCUCUGAAUGCCAUUCUUGGUAGGAUAAAAUGUGAGAACUGAACCCCAACUGAGAAGGUGCCAAUUAAUUCAGGUGGCACUGACCUGUGAGGCUGAGGAGGUCUUAAUCACCAGAACACUAAAUGCUCAUUAUCCAACCUUUUAAUUAGCAAAGAAACUACCCUGUCUGGAAAAGUUUUCAGCAAAGAACUAAGAUUUGAUCAUGCUGUUAAAGAAAAAAAAAGAAAAGAAAAAAACAAUCCUCUGAUCUCUCCCAGGCAACAAAUCUUGUAUUUCAGAUGUAUGUUUUCAUAUCUUCCAGGUCCCAAUUGGAGAGAAAAUGAGGAAAAGGAGGAACAGAUGGGACUAAAAGCAGAAGGCACCUGAUGAAAGAGAAAAAGCAAGGCUGGGGGAAGGGUGUUUAGAGAAGGACUGGGAGAACAAAAGCAAAGAAUCUGAAAUGUAAGGUUAUCUCCUCUGCUGAACUACACACACAAAGUUGUUCUAUUUACUGCUUUGCAAUAUUGAGUGACUCUAUCAAGUACUGGUGGCGAUCGGUGCCUAGGAAUAAUCACAUGGAUCUCUCAAUAGAAAGCUCACUUUACAGAAUCAGGUCACUAAUAAGGGCCUGGGGCAUGUAUAUCACCAUGUAGGUGUGAAAAUGCAGGACAGGGUCAGGCUAUGCCAACAUCUUUGUACAUGUGAAAAAUGAAACCCAAGAAGGUCAACAGAAAGGGCAUUGGCCUGGGAAUCAGAAAGGUAGUCCUUUCCCUGAAAGAGGAUAAAUGUAUUUUCCCAAGGUGACAAGGUAAGUAGUAGAGUGCCUACAUUUUGUUUCUUGCCUCUUAGGAGAGCAUGCUUUCUUCCGUUCCCAUGAACUUCAGAAUGAGCCACAUCUUUACUCAAAGCCUCCUCUGCUAUUUAUAUGUGUGACCUUAGAGGAGUCUCAGCAGUGCCUGACAUAUAAUUAUAUGAACCUCUGGACUCUGGAGUAAGCAUGGCUCUAAUGCUCUGGAGGACACAUCCUUAUUCUCCAAGAUCUCUAUCAAGUCAUUUAGGAGGGAAAGACUGGCGGAAAGAGAAAUACACAAACCUCAGAAGGGAGCAGACAAUUCACACAUUUCUACAGUUUAACCUUCAGUGCCAAGAGAAACAGAAGUGGCUGGUUAUGAAAACCGGCAGCACAGCUUUUUCCCUCCCUGUGGUGUCUUCCCAGAUAAGAAAGCAGGCCUGAAUCCCGGGUGCUGUUCUUCCAGACCACAUGAAAGGUACUGUCUCAGGCUCCUCAUCUGGAACUUUUAUGCUUUACAAAGAUGAUAAUAGUCCCUCAAAAUCACCUACAAUGCUGAAUUAAAUAGCAUUCAAAGUAUACUAGGAGAAAAUUACAGUCAAGUUUGAGUCAACAGAUCUCUUAACCUGGUAACUUUUAGGAAACCACUUAAUUUCUGCAACUCAGUCAUCUUCCCUAUAAAAUGGGAAUAAUAAAACCUAUCUUGACUACUCUAAAGACUAGUAUUGAGAAGCAAAUGAGGUAAGAGACAUGAGAAAGAUUUAGAAAUUAUAAAAUUCAACAUAAAUACAAAUUAAUGAGGUACAUCUAUUAUGUCACCUGAUCUUUAUAACGUGACAAUUGUCCAAAUCAAAAUGGAGUCACUAAAGUUUUUUUUUGUUUGCUUGUUUGCUUGUUUGUUUUUAAAAAAACCCUGAUAAAUAGAGCCACAGAAGUCCAUGAAGAGAGGAUUCUCAUAUUCGUAUACCUGACAAGAAACACUAUCACAAUGACUGCAAAAAACACAACCUUGUACAAAGACCAUUACAAACUUACACAAAAGAAUACCUUUGCAAGGACAUCUGCCCAGCAAUUGCCUGUCCAAUCUCAGACUGGUGUCACUCUUGUUAUUUAUCUUUGUAACCAAGGAUAAUUAUUUCAAAACAAUUAUGUAAUUCUCCUCAUUUUUUCCUUUAAAAACCAUUUCUUUCUUUUACCUCCCUGAGUACUCAUAUGGGCACAGCAGUCUCAUUGCAGUGUAUUCUCAUGCACUAUUCCCAAAUAAAUAUUUUUUUCUUUUAGAAAGCCUCUCUCUGUUUGUUAUUUAGGCUGACAAUAACAACCCCAGGAAAUGGGUAAGUUAUUAUCCCUAUUUAUUGAUGGGUUGCGGGGGAGAAACAGAAAAGGAUCAGGCUAUUUGCUUAAAGUCCCUCAGCAAGUUGGCUCCCAAGGCAAGUCCAGUGCCCUUGCAUCCCAUCACCUCCUAGACCCUCCACCAGUGCUGCUUAUUCUCUCUGCUGUUUUCCCAGAAUCAUUCACUGCCCUUCUCCACAUCACAGGAGCUCCUGUCUCCUCUGACUUCAGGUUGGACUGGCUAAUAGAAAGACCAAAAGGUGGCAGGAGAGCAGAGUUGAGCAUUCGUUCCCUGGCUCUCCCCCUGCCUCAGCACUGUGGCUCUGACAAUGACUGGAUCCCUCUACAACUUCGACUCUUAUCUAGAGCCUCCUUCCACAGUGAUUCUGCAUAUCUGUUACAUUCUAAGGCCACUUCACAACACUACCAAACCCAGCUUUACAGUUUGGAAGACUGAGAGAAUCAUACCCAAAGCCACAAACAUCCAAAUAUGGUGUUCUUCACAAGAAACUAAUAAUGAACUUGAGACAGAGUCUGCAGGGAUAGAUGAUGACUUGGGAUUCGGUGCUUACAGGAGACUGGCUCUUCACAUUCUUUGCAUCCACAGUUCCAAGGAGGCUUUAGAGCUCAAUACUUUCCAGCCAGUGACAUUUCUAAAUGCAUUUUCCAAAUGAAGUCAAUGCCCUCAGGCAGCCCAGUGGGGAGGUCAUGGAGAGCCAGUGAGAAGGAAGUCUGCAGGGAGCUCAUGCCAAAAUAUUUGCUGGAUGGCACUAAUGACCACCACCACAACAGACUGCGUAGGAGAAAACACUGAGAAAUUGAAAUGGGAGAAUUCCCUGACACCCCUUGCUGAACGUGAGACAGGGAUGUGACUCAUCUGUUCAGUAACCACUGCUCCUCAAACCCCUUAUGUGAGGGGAGCAUGCAGACAGGUAGGUUCAGGAGCCAGAGUAAGCACCCCUGGGCUCCAGCCCCAGGGCAGCAUUCAGGGUUGAGAGCCUGCAACUCCCAAAGCCCAAAUGGGCUGUGUUACAGUGUACUCUUUCAGCCUUGCCAUUCGCGGGCAGCUUAUCUGUUAACCAGCUCAGUGAAUUCUCUGCCUUUUCACAAUGGCAGAGGGCCAGUGUGACAGCUUUCUGUACCCAAGCUCUCGUCCAACAUCCCAGAAGAGUCAGGUCACAUACAGACUUGAAGGAUGAAUGUGGGGGUAUUAUUGAGUGGUGGAAA